Long non-coding RNA from Girardinichthys multiradiatus, 1938 nucleotides. RefSeq lists it as uncharacterized. NCBI's taxonomy places the organism in Eukaryota, Metazoa, Chordata, Actinopteri, Cyprinodontiformes, Goodeidae. The record is from RefSeq and is a predicted model, not a curated record. The transcript is spliced from 4 exons.
CUUUGCCAGUAUUGGAAACUAACUUUCACCACUUUCUAUAAUGUUUUACCAGAACCUCACUUAAAAUAAAUGGAACUAUCCUUUUUAUAUGCUUAUGACACCAGGAUUGUGUUUGCACUAUGCAAAGUAAACAUGACUUUCGUUAAGUGACUGGUUGGCUAUAUUUGAAAUUUUAGCUUCAUCCUGUGAAUAUUCUUUUUUUCUCAUCCUUAUCAGAGUCUAUUUCUAACCUGCCUCUUGCUCUUGAAUGUAACCCCAGAUACCUUAUUUUUGUAGGACAGAGUUUAUCCACCAUUUCAAUCCCCUUCAGUGCAGCCUCUUUCCUCUUGUUUCUGCCCUGCUGGACAGUGAUGAUGAUGAUGAUCGGCCUUCGGGCUGUAGAGGCAGAUGGACUGUCAUCCUCCCUUCUGCCUGCUGCUGUUGUGUCCUUUCUCCCCUGAAAGCAUGAUACCUGUGCAGACCCUGAUUAUGUCCCAACCGUACUGCAGAGGCCCACGACCCCUUGCUGUGCAGGCUGCGAGCUAAGGUGGUGGAAGGUCUUCCAGGUGUCGGUCCCCAUGCGCUGCGAAUGUGUCCUGAAUAUCCUCUAUACCUUUCCCUGUACAAUUCAAGUUGGAGCAAGAGGAGAAGGGUUUCCCUGACAACAGCCCGGUCUCUGAUGACCAUUUGUGGACUCACCUUCUCGUCCCAAGCUUCCUGUGGACUCCGGAUCAUUACCUCCACGACUGGCUUCCUUCUUUCUGCACUACCUGUCCGCCCAGCAUUGCAGCCAUCCAAGCCCUCUGGAUUGCACCUCCGCUGCAGGCAAAUAAACCACAAAUCAUUCUCCGGACAUCUCUCCCUGCCUUCAUUCCCCACGGACUUCUCAUUCUCCCCCCAUUUGUUAUUUAUUUAUUUAUUUUAUGUAAUGCCAAAACCAUUAUUAUUUAUUUUAUGUGUUUAUUGUGUUUAAUGUGACUGUCUUAUCUCUUUUCCUUUUUUCUGCAAAGCCCUUUGAAAUACUUUGUGCAUUAAUGGUGUCUGUUUACACAUCUCAGAGGCCUUGAAUGAAUAAUAUAAUUUUACCAAUUUACAAAUUAAAGCUUUGAAAUAGUCCUUAAUUAAAUGUAACAUAAUCUUAAUCGUUGAUGUGUCAAAACUUGAAUGAGAAUUAUGUCUUUUAUUUAAUAGAUUGAUUACAUGUUGUAGGAAAAUAGUAAUGGGAGAACAGCCCAGUCAUAAGAUAGUUACAGUGAUUUUAAUGAUUUUUAUAAUGAGUUUUGUUAGAGAUGCCUGAAAAAUGAUGUUUUGGAAAAACAGUGGGAUCCAUUUCUCAUCGUCUGUCUAACAUGACUUGUCUCUCUUCUUACCCCAAGUCCACUUUAAUUGCUUGGUCCCUCCCUCAAAAUGUCUCCACACCCUGGAAGGAAAGCCUUCCAGUACGAUGAGUUAUGAGUUAAACUGUAUCAUUUAUAUUGUGUGCUACAGUACAUUUCUCUAUUUUUUGUGUAAAACUGUGCAAGCUUUCAGUUUUUUAUCCUGGUUCUGUAAGUCGUCCAAAGCGGGGAAUAUUAAGAAAUCCAAAGGUGACAGCCUUCCAUUCCUAGAGUGAACUUCCAGCCAGACGAAUCAGCUAUUUUUCAAUUUACCCAGCCCAUUAAAUCAAUAUUAGGCUCCUGAAAGACUGACAAGCCUUUUUCAAUCUUAGAUUUUAAUCACAGCACUGUAAAUAACAUUUUAAAUAUUUAUUCCCUAUUACAAAUUUCCCUUUUAGUUUUUGUGUCAAGUGAUUAGUUGUUUUUCUUUGUCAGACAGUAUGUUAUGUUUCUUUUGCAAUCUUUAAGUGUCAUUUCAUUAGAUUUUAGAUUAUUAACAUGGGUCAAUAAGAUGUAAUAAAGGUCCAGAUUUCUGGCGAGCUGUCAUAUUGGGAAACAAGACAUUUAACAUCUAUAAUUAAUA